RNAcentral lists this ribosomal RNA (492 nucleotides) under uncultured bacterium. RNAcentral describes it as "partial 16S ribosomal RNA". It matches the Rfam family "Bacterial small subunit ribosomal RNA", at positions 29 to 507 of the family's 1533-position model. The record is from RNAcentral.
AGUGAACGCUGGCGGUAGGCCUAACACAUGCCAGUCGAACGGCAGCACAGUAAGAGCUUGCUCUUACGGGUGGCGAGUGGCGGACGGGUGAGGAAUACAUCGGAAUCUACUUUUUCGUGGGGGAUAACGUAGGGAAACUUACGCUAAUACCGCAUACGACCUACGGGUGAAAGCAGGGGAUCUUCGGACCUUUCGCGAUUGAAUGAGCCGAUGUCGGAUUAGCUAGUUGGCGGGGUAAAGGCCCACCAAGGCAACGAUACGUAGCUGGUCUGAGAGGAUGAUCAGCCACACUGGAACUGAGACACGGUCCAGACUCCUACGGGAGGCAGCAGUGGGGAAUAUUGGACAAUGGGCGCAAGCCUGAUCCAGCCAUACCGCGUGGGUGAAGAAGGCCUUCGGGUUGUAAAGCCCUUUUGUUGGGAAAGAAAAGCAGCAGGUUAAUACCCCGCUGUUCUGACGGUACCCAAAGAAUAAGCACCGGCUAACUUCGUG